Molecule: ribosomal RNA, 500 nt
Filed under: Vibrio parahaemolyticus
Lineage: Bacteria; Pseudomonadati; Pseudomonadota; Gammaproteobacteria; Vibrionales; Vibrionaceae
Description: bacterial SSU rRNA
Rfam family: Bacterial small subunit ribosomal RNA
Source: RNAcentral
GACGGGUGAGUAAUGCCUAGGAAAUUGCCCUGAUGUGGGGGAUAACCAUUGGAAACGAUGGCUAAUACCGCAUGAUGCCUACGGGCCAAAGAGGGGGACCUUCGGGCCUCUCGCGUCAGGAUAUGCCUAGGUGGGAUUAGCUAGUUGGUGAGGUAAGGGCUCACCAAGGCGACGAUCCCUAGCUGGUCUGAGAGGAUGAUCAGCCACACUGGAACUGAGACACGGUCCAGACUCCUACGGGAGGCAGCAGUGGGGAAUAUUGCACAAUGGGCGCAAGCCUGAUGCAGCCAUGCCGCGUGUGUGAAGAAGGCCUUCGGGUUGUAAAGCACUUUCAGUCGUGAGGAAGGUUUAUGCGUUAAUAGCGUAUUUAUUUGACGUUAGCGACAGAAGAAGCACCGGCUAACUCCGUGCCAGCAGCCGCGGUAAUACGGAGGGUGCGAGCGUUAAUCGGAAUUACUGGGCGUAAAGCGCAUGCAGGUGGUUUGUUAAGUCAGAUGUGA